Molecule: long non-coding RNA, 921 nt
Filed under: Pan troglodytes (chimpanzee)
Lineage: Eukaryota; Metazoa; Chordata; Mammalia; Primates; Hominidae
Description: long non-coding RNA NONPTRT008388
Source: RNAcentral
GUGGUGUCGUGCAUCUGCUGGAGCCCAAUGCUGGUGUUGGUGGCGCUGGCGGUCGGCGGCUGGAGCUCUACCUCCCUGCAGCGGCCACUGUUCCUGGCCGUGCGCCUUGCCUCCUGGAACCAGAUCCUGGACCCUUGGGUGUACAUCCUACUGCGCCAGGCCGUGCUGCGCCAACUGCUUCGCCUCCUGCCCCCGAGGGCCGGGGCCAAGGGCGGCCCCGCGGGGCUGGGCCUAACACCGAGCGCCUGGGAGGCCAGCUCGCUGCGCAGCUCCCGGCACAGCGGCCUCAGCCACUUCUAAGCACAACCAGAGGCCCAACGACUAAGCCAGCCCACCCUGGGCUGGGCCCAGGUGCGCGGCGCAGAGCCUUUGAGGAAUAAAAAGCCAUUCUGCGAGCCCAGGCAGGACGGUGUGUCCCGUCGGGGCUUCGGCAUCCACUGGGGCCGCGCGGGGGGCUGCAGGGACGCCGCGUGCGCCUCCAGGGUGGAUGCAGUUCCGGGGCCUACCAGAAGAGGGCGCGGAGACACGGGGGCGUGGUUCUAGGAGGUUCGAGGCUGCCGGGCCCGUGGGCGCCAGAGCCGCAGGAGCAAGCGCACCGUGCGGGCGGCGGGGGCUGGGACUCCGCUGGGAGCAGAGACAGAGGGUGUGUGGGGCGUUUCCUGACCUUGCCGCUGCCCUAACGGACUUCCGAAACCAUUCUGCUCACUGCGGCUUUGAGCUCUUCCAAUACAGCCCCAAAACCCUAUCCCCAAACCAUUUUGCUCCACGCCCCUGGGCGCCCCCCAACACAAUCCCGACCCCCCCUCCCAUCUCGGCUUACCCACGCUCCCCACCAUAAGAACAGCCCCGAGUCCACGCCGCCCCUUGAUCCUCUUCAGAUGACACCCCCAUCAGUCAGACUCCCACGACCACCCAGCCACC